RNAcentral lists this ribosomal RNA (510 nucleotides) under uncultured bacterium. RNAcentral's name for it is "partial 16S ribosomal RNA". It matches the Rfam family "Bacterial small subunit ribosomal RNA", at positions 28 to 507 of the family's 1533-position model. The record is from RNAcentral.
GACGAACGCUGGCGGCGUGCUUAACACAUGCAAGUCGAACGAAGAGCGACGGAAGCUUGCUUCUAUCAAUCUUAGUGGCGAACGGGUGAGUAACGCGUAAUCAACCUGCCCUUCAGAGGGGGACAACAGUUGGAAACGACUGCUAAUACCGCAUACGAUCUAAUCUCGGCAUCGAGGAUGGAUGAAAGGUGGCCUCUACAUGUAAGCUAUCACUGAAGGAGGGGAUUGCGUCUGAUUAGCUAGUUGGAGGGGUAACGGCCCACCAAGACGAUGAUCAGUAGCCGGUCUGAGAGGAUGAACGGCCACAUUGGGACUGAGACACGGCCCAGACUCCUACGGGAGGCAGCAGUGGGGAAUCUUCCGCAAUGGACGAAAGUCUGACGGAGCAACGCCGCGUGAGUGAUGACGGCCUUCGGGUUGUAAAGCUCUGUUAAUCGGGACGAAAGGCCUUCUUGCGAAUAGUGAGAAGGAUUGACGGUACCGGAAUAGAAAGCCACGGCUAACUACGUG